UUGCAGUGAUGACUUUUCUUAUCUGUCAAUCCCCUGAGUGCAGUCACUGAUGUCUCUGUGUCUCUGAGCAA
Molecule: small nucleolar RNA, 71 nt
Filed under: Otolemur garnettii (small-eared galago)
Lineage: Eukaryota; Metazoa; Chordata; Mammalia; Primates; Galagidae
Description: Small nucleolar RNA SNORD110
Rfam family: Small nucleolar RNA SNORD110
About the family: The members of this family belong to the C/D class of snoRNAs which contain the C (UGAUGA) and D (CUGA) box motifs.
Source: Rfam by way of RNAcentral